This 737-nucleotide long non-coding RNA is filed under the name Mytilus galloprovincialis (Mediterranean mussel). The record is from RNAcentral. Lineage: Eukaryota; Metazoa; Mollusca; Bivalvia; Mytilida; Mytilidae.
CUUGAAAGUUCGGGUGGUCAUAUGGAUUUAAAUACUGUCACUAUAAUUGACCUCAACAACAAACUUCGACAGUUCUAUGCAGAGGCAAAACCUAGAUACUCAGACAAAAAGAGCACAAUCUAUGCCCAGAGAACAUGCUGGUGCGUACUACAAGAAUUCGUUGAAACACGUGAGAGCUGCUCUAAACAGGCACUUGACUGGCAUAAACAGAGAUAUUGACAUUGUAAAAGACAAUGAAUUUAGACAAUUUUGGAUAGUACACUCAAAAUGAUGGUUGCAAUUGGACUUUCACAACCAACAAAACACAAGGAUAUAAUAGACCUUGAAGACUCUGGUUGAUAAGUACAUAUAUUUUCAGCGACAUUGAAGAUGUUGUUCUCCUAAUAUUAAAAGUAUGGUAUUGUCUGAUCAUUCAUUUUGUAUCUAGGGGUUUAGAGUUCCACCACCAGCUGAAUUUAUACUCUUUCGACUUCAAAUUAGAUGAAGAUGGUGAUGAGUAAGUCAUGGUUAAUCAUGAACCCAAACACACAUUUAGGGUGGUGUGUCAAGUGAAGAAGCCCCUUCGGAUAAGUUUGUGUAUUCUAAUGUGGCUGAACAGAGAUUUUGUCCACUUUCUGCAUUUAAAGAACUCAUAGCAAAACUCCUUUCCAAUCUCAUUGUAAAAAACUUGGAUGUCAGCAGGUUGGGGGGCAAGCGUAUGGUUUACAACACAAACAUUAACUAAGCGUACAUACAGC